GGUUAGCCUAGUUCUCUUGCCUACAGCCCAGCCACAGAAUAACUCCAAUUUGGCCUCCCGUCACAACUGAGACUUCAAUGAUCCAGUGAUGCUGUGAUUCUCCAGGGCAAGAAACAUCCUGGGAGCUGAAAACAUCCUGGGAGAACAAACAUCUACUCUGCUCCUCAUUGUUCUUGGACUGUUAACAUCUUAUUUACGCAGGAUGUGCUGAACUCUCUGCAAGUCAUUUGUUACAUUUGUUUCUCCCGAUGUACUGAAUAAAAGGUGUGGUAAGGUGGGGGCUUUUGUUUUUGCUGCCCAGAGCAGCACUGAUCAGACCCAAAGCUCAGCUUCUUCUCAGUCUCAUUUUCCUACCUUUCCUGUAAUUCGCCGUGUGCUGCUGUGGCUCGAAGGAGACCAGGACUCACUGCAGAGGUUCUGGUAACAUCCCCUUCCCCUGUUCCCUACAAUUUUACUUCUUACACCUGUCUGUGACCCCAGCUGGACUCUGUUCCACCCAGUGGUUCAUAAAACCUAUGAGUCCUAAGAUGGAAAACCAGGGGUCCUGUUAGCAGAAGAGCAUCCUGGGAAAGCCGAACGCAGCGGUCUUCCAUCAGUACUCUUACCACAAGAAGACAAGGUCUCAAUUGAGAUGAGUAGCCACCAGAAACACCCAGCCUGAUGGAGGAGGACCCACACGGUGGAUGACACAGGGUUGACUUGGGAGAAGGAAGACUGCUGACCCGGAGAAGCCUAAAUGUGUUGAUGGACC
This 751-nucleotide long non-coding RNA is filed under the name Heterocephalus glaber (naked mole-rat). RNAcentral describes it as "lncRNA (ENSHGLG00000034749.1)". The record is from RNAcentral. Lineage: Eukaryota; Metazoa; Chordata; Mammalia; Rodentia; Bathyergidae.